Long non-coding RNA from Cyprinodon tularosa, 272 nucleotides. RefSeq lists it as uncharacterized. NCBI's taxonomy places the organism in Eukaryota, Metazoa, Chordata, Actinopteri, Cyprinodontiformes, Cyprinodontidae. The record is from RefSeq and is a predicted model, not a curated record. The transcript is spliced from 3 exons.
ACUGAGGCAUCAACAGCACCGCAGCUCUGAGAGUGAUGCUUAUGAUCCAGUAAGCCAUGAUGAGAGGGCGGCUCCUGUUUGUGCUCUGGUGCUCCAACAUCAUGGCAGUGGCCCACAUCAUCACAGUUGGUGGGAAUCGUUGCACGAGCGACUUAACUGAAACCAUAACCUGUGCGUGGCACUUCAGCGAUGGUGUUGUGGUCGAGUCCAAAAAUUACAGCCUGGAAUUUACGACACUUGAUCCUCCAAAACAGUAAGUCAUUUUUAUUGAA